RNAcentral lists this ribosomal RNA (497 nucleotides) under uncultured bacterium. Its description in RNAcentral is "partial 16S ribosomal RNA". It matches the Rfam family "Bacterial small subunit ribosomal RNA", at positions 29 to 507 of the family's 1533-position model. The record is from RNAcentral.
AAUGAACGCUGGCGGCAUGCCUAACACAUGCAAGUCGAACGAACAGACGGGGUACUGGCUCGUGGGGCGUGGGCGGCGGACGGGUGAGGCACACGUGGGUGACCUACCUAUGAGAAUGGGAUGACUACAGCGGACCGGAUCUAGCACCCGACAAGAUGUCGAACCGGGUGGUUCGAUAGUGAAAGAGGGCUUUGCGAUGACUAAUAGGUGGACCUGCGUCGUAUUAGCUAGUUGGUAAGGUAACGGCUUACCAAGGCGACGAUCCGUAGCCGACCUGAGAGGAUGAUCAGCCACACUGGAACUGAGACACGGCCCAGACUCCUACGGGAGGCAGCAGUGGGGAAUCUUCCGCAAUGGGGGAAAGCCUGAUGGAGCAAUGCCGCGUGAGGGAUGAAGGUCUUCGGAUCGUAAACCGCUGUUAUUCGGGAAGAACUACCGUGUGAUUAACCGUGCACGUCUUGACGGUACCGGAAGAAUAAGCACCGGCUAACUACGUG